CUGGCUACAGGACGAACGCUGGCGGCGUGCCUAAUACAUGCAAGUCGAACGAACUGUGGAAAGCUUGCUUUUCAGAGUUAGUGGCGAACGGGUGAGUAACACGUAAGUAACCUAGCUAUUAGACGAGGAUAACUACUGGAAACGGUAGCUAAGACUGGAUAUGAUAGAAAUAUUUAAAGGAUGCUAAGGCAUCGCUAAUAGAGGGGCUUGCGGCGCAUUAGCUAGUUGGUAGGGUAAAAGCCAACCAAGGCGAUGAUGCGUAGCCGACCUGAGAGGGUGACCGGCCACACUGGGACUGAGACACGGCCCAGACUCCUACGGGAGGCAGCAGUAGGGAAUCUUCGGCAAUGGACGAAAGUCUGACCGAGCAACGCCGCCGUGAGUGAAGAAAGUUUUCGGAUUGUAAAGCUCUGUUAUUAGGGAAGAAAGGCUCUAGGAGGAAAUGCUUAGGGAUUGACGGUACCUAAUGAGGAAGCCACGGCUAACUACGUGCCAGCCGCCGC
RNAcentral lists this ribosomal RNA (503 nucleotides) under uncultured bacterium. RNAcentral's name for it is "bacterial SSU rRNA". It matches the Rfam family "Bacterial small subunit ribosomal RNA", at positions 19 to 518 of the family's 1533-position model. The record is from RNAcentral.